GACGAACGCUGGCGGCGUGCUUAACACAUGCAAGUCGAACGGAAAGGCCCCUUUGGGGGUACUCGAGUGGCGAACGGGUGCGUAACACGUGAGUAACCUGCCCUUGACUUCGGGAUAACUUCAGGAAACUGGGGCUAAUACCGGAUAGGAAUCCUUGCUGCAUGGUGGGGGUUGGAAAGCUUCGGCGGUUUUGGGUGGACUGACGGCUUAUCAGCUUGUUGGUGGGGUAGUGGCUUACCAAGGCGUUGACGGGUAGCCGGCCUGAGAGGGUGACCGGCCACACUGAGACUGAGAGAAGGCCGAGAUGCCUACUGGAGGCAGCAGGGGGGAAGAUUGAACAAUGGGCGGAGGCCUGAUGCAGCAACGCCGCGGGCGGGAUGACGGCCUUCGGGUUGUAGACCGCUUUCAGCAGGGGCGAAGCUUGUGGUGACGGUACCUGCAGAAGAAGCACCGGCUAACUACGUG
Molecule: ribosomal RNA, 465 nt
Filed under: uncultured bacterium
Lineage: Bacteria
Description: partial 16S ribosomal RNA
Rfam family: Bacterial small subunit ribosomal RNA
Source: RNAcentral